GGUUAACGCUGGCGGCGUGCCUAACACAUGCAAGUCGGACGGUUCUAAGCGCGAGCUUAGGAUAGUGGCGAACGGGUGAGUAAAAGGUAGGAAUCUACCCCUUGGACGGAGAUAGCUACUGGAAACGGUAGGUAAACUUCGAUAAGCCCGAGAGGGGAAAGUGGUGAGACAGCCGAGGGAUGAGCCUACUCUCCAUCAGGUAGUUGGUGAGAUAAAAGCUUACCAAGCCGAUGACGGAUAACCGGUGUGAGAGCAUGAACGGUCACAAGGGCACUGAGAGACGGGCCCUACUCCUACGGGAGGCAGCAGUGGGGAAUCUUGGACAAUGGGCGAAAGCCUGAUCCAGCGACGCCGCGUGGAGGAAGAAGUCCUUCGGGAUGUAAACUUCUGAACUAGCCGAAUAAAAGGCCUGUGGACACACAGGAGAAGAAAGUAGGCUAGGAAAAGUCCCGGCUAACUACGUGCCAGCAGCCGCGGUAAGACGUAGGGGGCAAGCGUUACCCGGAAUUACUGGGCGUAAAGGGGGCGUAGGCGGUAAAAGAAGUCAUCUGUGAAAACCUAUUGCUCAACGAUAGGCUAGCGGAUGAAACUGAAUUACUUGAGGGCACCAGAGGUAGACGGAAUUACCCGAGUAGGGGUGAAAUCCGCAGAUACGGGUAGGAACGCCGGUGGAGAAGUCGGUCUACUGGGGUGCACCAGACGCUGAGGCCCGAAAGCUAGGGGAGCAAACCGG
This 733-nucleotide ribosomal RNA is filed under the name uncultured bacterium. Its description in RNAcentral is "bacterial SSU rRNA". It matches the Rfam family "Bacterial small subunit ribosomal RNA", at positions 28 to 776 of the family's 1533-position model. The record is from RNAcentral.